CCUUCGAAGCUUCUUCGGCAAUGCGGAGAGGGAGAGAGAGUUCUGGUGAGCAUACUCUUGGAUUUCGUCGUCUUCUCCAUCUCUGUCUGUUCAAUUUCCGUAUAUGCUUGUCAUGAUUCCAAACAGAACGGACCAUCGAUGCUGAGCAUGACUGCAGGGGAGAAAAGGCUUAAUGGGACCAUUUGUCAACCAGGCGAAACACAACUAUCAAUGGCGAAUUUUCUACAACAUCUCAAUGAGGAGGAAGAAAGAGACCAGAGGCACAACUUGUCUCAACACAGCAAUGCAAUAAAUUGCAAAAGGAGGGAUGACAAGUCCAAGACAUGGGGGACCUUGUGGGAGUUCUUGGCAUUGUGCUAACAUGGGCAAGAUGCUGACGAGGGCUUUCUCUCCAUAUGUUCAUCCAGCAAACAAGGACGGGUGCUUCUUGGGACCCCUUGCACUUGCCUUGUUUCAAUCGGAAUGCAACAAGAACACAAAAAUGAAAGGAUUCAGUCCUAUUUGGUUGGUCUCUACAAGUCUUAGGGUAUCGAAGCAGACAAGUCAUGAGCAGAAUUAGGGGAUGCUGUGUCUUCUUCUGUGCAUGGAUUGCGAACUUUUUGUUCUACUUGUUUAUGAUGAAAGAUUAAAUUCCAUGGCAUGUUUCUACUGUCUUUUUGCGGAACUCCAUGCCUGACAUGAGUUCCUCCUAUAC
Musa acuminata subsp. malaccensis (wild Malaysian banana) is the source of this 694-nucleotide non-coding RNA. The record is from RefSeq and is a predicted model, not a curated record. NCBI's taxonomy places the organism in Eukaryota, Viridiplantae, Streptophyta, Magnoliopsida, Zingiberales, Musaceae.